GACGAACGCUGGCGGCGUGCCUAAUACAUGCAAGUCGAGCGAAUUUACGAGAGCUUGCUCUCGUAAAUUAGCGGCGGACGGGUGAGUAACACGUGGGCAACCUGCCUAUAAGACUGGGAUAACUUCGGGAAACCGGAGCUAAUACCGGAUAAUUCACAUCUACUCAUGUAGAUGUGCUGAAAGACGGUUUCGGCUGUCACUUAUAGAUGGGCCUGCGGCGCAUUAGCUAGUUGGUGAGGUAACGGCUCACCAAGGCCACGAUGCGUAGCCGACCUGAGAGGGUGAUCGGCCAAACUGGGACUGAUGCACGGCCCAGACGCCUACGGGAGGCAGCAGUAGGGAAUCUUCCGCAAUGGACGAAAGUCUGACGGAGCAACGCCGCGUGAGUGAUGAAGGGUUUCGGAUCGUAAAACUCUGUUGUUAGGGAAGAACAAGUACCAGAGUAACUGCUGGUACCUUGACGGUACCUAACCAGAAAGCCACGGCUAACUACGUGCCAGCCGCCGCGGUAA
Molecule: ribosomal RNA, 512 nt
Filed under: uncultured bacterium
Lineage: Bacteria
Description: partial 16S ribosomal RNA
Rfam family: Bacterial small subunit ribosomal RNA
Source: RNAcentral